UUGUGGAGCCCAUGUUUGCUUUGUAUUUCUUAUUGUAGUUCCUUGUUUCAGAAUGAUCACAGGAUCCCAAAGGCUACAGAAUGAACAAUACCCAACAUAUCUUCCUUCGGGCUCAUGUAUGUGUCUUCAAUGGAGAAUGUGGUAACGGAGGAAGAAAAUGUGAUGCUCCUUCUAGUGUUGUCCCUACAACUUGUCUAAGAUUCAAAAUGCAAAUUCCCAACUUCCCCUGCUAUCAGCAGACUGACCUGGAACAGCGUGAUCCUUCAGGUGGAAGGAGUAGGACCCAAGUGAUCAGAAAGGAUAUCACAUAGUCAGUGAUCAGCUGAGACUAAGUACGGACAGGGGAAGAAGAAUAUCCACUAGACUUUCACAAGUCACCAGUCAUGGAUUUCAGGAUCUGACUGCUUGUCAUCUUGGGAGACGUCAAGAUCUGACUGCUUGUCUUCAUGGGAGAUGUCAGGAUCUGAGUGCUUGUCACCACGGGAGACAUCAGGAUCUGACUGCUUGUCAUCUUGGGAGACGUCAGGAUCUGACUGCUUGUCAUCACGGGAGACGUCAGGAUCUGACUGCUUGUCAUCUUGGGAGAUGUCAGGAUCUGAGUGCUUGUUACCACGGGAGACAUCAGGAUCUGACUGCUUGUCAUCUUGGGAGACGUCAGGAUCUGACUGCUUGUCUUCAUGGGAGACGUCAGGUUCUGAGUUCCUGAAUGUAUCCUCCGUCUACAUGAGAGAGGGGGCUCUGGUCCUGACUUGGCUUCCUCCUGUCUUUGCUGAUGGAAGCUGGGUUUUGAUGAGAAACUUCUCCUGGCAUGCUAAGGUCUACUGACAGCAAAUGUAAAGUCUUAGAGGUCGAAGGCCUUGAUGACUGCCUUUCCUGACCGUGCACUGUUUCUAGUGAGUUUAAUUUAAUACAAAGCAAAACAAGUUUGAUAAUAGCCUCUGGCUGACUGCUGGAACCCACCACACACAGGAAUUCAUGACUGAGGGACAGCAGGGGCACUUCUCUCAUCACACAUGAUGCGCAGGCCACCCAGCGAGGCACCUCAUCUCCAGGUUGACAGUUCCUGGCUGA
This 1071-nucleotide long non-coding RNA is filed under the name Pongo abelii (Sumatran orangutan). Its description in RNAcentral is "lncRNA (ENSPPYG00000030742.1)". Lineage: Eukaryota; Metazoa; Chordata; Mammalia; Primates; Hominidae. The record is from RNAcentral.